RNAcentral lists this ribosomal RNA (477 nucleotides) under uncultured bacterium. Its description in RNAcentral is "bacterial SSU rRNA". It matches the Rfam family "Bacterial small subunit ribosomal RNA", at positions 107 to 598 of the family's 1533-position model. The record is from RNAcentral.
UGAGUAACGCGUGGGGAACCUGCCCUUAAGUUCGGGAUACCAACUCGAAAGGGUUGUUAAUACCGGAUGUGCUGCAUUAGCCGCAUGGCGGAUGUAGUAAAGGGGAGACCCGCUUAAGGAUGGCCCUGCGUUCCAUUAGCUAGUUGGUGGGGUAACGGCCUACCAAGGCGACGAUGGAUAGCCGGCCUGAGAGGGCGACCGGCCACACUGGGACUGAGACACGGCCCAGACUCCUACGGGGGGCAGCAGUGGGGAAUCUUGCACAAUGGGCGGAAGCCUGAUGCAGCGACGCCGCGUGAGGGACGAAGGUCUUCGGAUCGUAAACCUCUGUCCAAAGGGACGAAGGAGUGACGGUACCUUUGGAGGAAGCCCCGGCCAACUACGUGCCAGCAGCCGCGGUAAGACGUAGGGGGCGAGCGUUGUCCGGAAUCAUUGGGCGUAAAGGGCGCGUAGGCGGUGACGUAAGUCAGGCGUGAA